Molecule: ribosomal RNA, 484 nt
Filed under: uncultured bacterium
Lineage: Bacteria
Description: partial 16S ribosomal RNA
Rfam family: Bacterial small subunit ribosomal RNA
Source: RNAcentral
AUUGAACGCUGGCGGCAGGCCUAACACAUGCAAGUCGAGCGGAUGAAGGGAGCUUGCUCCUGGAUUCAGCGGCGGACGGGUGAGUAAUGCCUAGGAAUCUGCCUGGUAGUGGGGGAUAACGUCCGGAAACGGGCGCUAAUACCGCAUACGUCCUGAGGGAGAAAGUGGGGGAUCUUCGGACCUCACGCUAUCAGAUGAGCCUAGGUCGGAUUAGCUAGUUGGUGGGGUAAAGGCCUACCAAGGCGACGAUCCGUAACUGGUCUGAGAGGAUGAUCAGUCACAAUGGAACUGAGACACGGUCCAGACUCCUACGGGAGGCUGCAGUGGGGAAUAUUGGACAAAGGGCGAAAGCCUGAUCCAGCCAUGGCGCGUGUGGGAAGAAGGUCUUCGGAUUGUAAAACACUUUAAGUUGGGAGGAAGGGCAGUAAGUUAAUAACUUGCUGUUUUGACGUUACCAACAGAAUAAGCACCGGCUAACUUCGUG